CUGCAGCCUCACACACGUCUGUCUCACUGUGUUUUACCCCCAUCCACCUUCCUUCCUUCCCUCUGUGUUCUGUUCUUUUUUCUCUCUCUCUCUCUCUCUCUCUCUCUAACCGAUUUUCGUACACAUCAGCAAGAGCCCCCGCUCUUUCAAUCUUUUCUCUCCGUCUCAUUCAUUCAGUUGUAUUUCCCUGUCAACUUCAGAACCGAUCGAUCACAUUGAUCAGUCACAAUGAAGGCCAAUAUCACCCUGGCGCUGAGCAUGCUCUCCCUGGUCCUCUUGAUCUUCGUCCAUGAAGCCACGCCUGUCUCAAAUGGAGCUUUCAACGAGAACACACAAACUGAAAAGACGAACAUGAGAGGUGGACUUUUAAAUGAUACCAGGAACUCCACUGACCAAUCCACACCUGAGAAGCAUGACAGAGGAAUGCAUGGUAAUCAUUCUGGCAUGACAAUAGCCCCCCCGAAUGGUACACCCACAUCCACAGAGAGUCAGACAUCUGCAACAUCAGGAAACACAACCCAGCAGACUGAAAAGACCACAUCCCCCUCACUCACUAAACAGACAAUCCCUACGUCUCUUCCCAAGACCUCCCCCAGCACCUCAACCAAUCCAUCCCAUAAUAAACCCUCACCUGCUCUGUUAAAUACGGGGUUCAUCGUGGUCCUGGUCAUCAUUCUUCUCCUAGCGAUUACCGUGCUGUGCUUCUACAAGUGGAACAGCCGCCACUCAGGCCAGGAUGGCUCCGCCCCUCGGCUGUUAUUGGGCGUCAGGGAGCGCAUGAGGGGCAGGGUUAGAAGCCUGGAGGAUUGGCUGGGGCUCAGCCUCUGGCCCGGGAAGAGAGUGGUGGAGGGGGACGAGGAGGAGGGAGAGGGGGGGAAGAGUGGAGAUGGAGAGGCUGCUGCAGGAGUGAGAGGGGGACAGGAUGAAGGAGAUUCCUCAGACGACUACUCCAGUUUAGACGGGAUUGACCUCAGCGAGAGAGCCAAGAACCUAGAGGAUGAUGAGAAAAAGGAGGCGUUGAAGAGGAAGAGUGGGAGCGAGGGAGGCCAGUAUAACAUGAAAGGAGAGAGAACUGAUGGAAGGAAGGAGGGUGGUGAAGAAGAGCGAACAGGGAAAAACUCCAGUGAGGGAGAUACUUGUGACCUCACAGCACUGUAAGGAAAGAGGGAGGAAGGGGUUAAGAGUGGGAUAAAAUAAAAUUGUUGAAGAUGUUAAUUUUGUGACUCAAUUCACUCUUCCUAUGGAGUAUAUUUUUCAUUUAAGCGUGUCAAUGUUAAUUUCAGACAAAUAGUUUUUUUUGGUAAUCCCUGUUACAUUUGUGUUUUAAUAAACUGGCUAAUAGAUUCCUGCUUGUAAUUUAUAUUACACAAUUCCCUAUUUCUGCUAAAAUAAGUUGAUGUUGAAAACAGUGUUCACGUGUAUUUGUUUGAUUUACAACUCUGCACCUACAUUCAUUUUUUUAAACAGAUAGAGAUUUGUCACUUUAAAGUAAAAGAUGUCCUGGACUAAAUGAUUCUGAAUUAUAAUUAAUUUGGUUGGAGGUAGGUGAUUGUGUGUAAUUUCUCUCACCUGUGGUAAGUUGCAGUUGCCUACUAGGUAAAAAUAUCCAUUCAAUCAGUUUACUAAAGAGAACACUGAACAUUCCGC
Oncorhynchus tshawytscha (Chinook salmon) is the source of this 1647-nucleotide long non-coding RNA. NCBI's taxonomy places the organism in Eukaryota, Metazoa, Chordata, Actinopteri, Salmoniformes, Salmonidae. The record is from Ensembl.